Long non-coding RNA from Hippocampus zosterae (dwarf seahorse), 240 nucleotides. RefSeq lists it as uncharacterized. The record is from RefSeq and is a predicted model, not a curated record. Lineage: Eukaryota; Metazoa; Chordata; Actinopteri; Syngnathiformes; Syngnathidae. The transcript is spliced from 3 exons.
UCGAGGAGAAGGUGCGUUUGAUUCCGACCCUUUGGCUGAAACUCGAGGAGAAGGUGCGUUUGAUUCCGACCCUUUUGCUGAAACUCAGGGAGGAGGUGCGUUUGAUUCCGACCCUUUUGCUGAAACUCAGGGAGGAGGUGCGUUUGAUUCCGACCCUUUUGCUGAAGCUCGAGAAGGUGCGUUUGAUUCCGACCCUUUUGCUGAAACUCAGGGAGGAGGUGCGUUUGAUUCUGACCCUUU